AGCUAGCCUUUACAUCAAUUCAAUUAAACCUUAUAAAUCUAAUAUAUACUACAAUUUUUAAUCAAAACAUUCUCAACCUUUUAGUAUGGGUGACAGAACAAUAACCCCAGCGCAAUAGUUUAUGUACCGCAAGGGAAAGCUGAAAAAGAAAUGAAAUAAACCAUUAAAGUACUAAAAAGCAGAGAUUAUACCUCGUACCUUUUGCAUCAUGAUUUAGCUAGAAAAACUAGGCAAAAAGAUCUUAAGUCUACCUCCCCGAAACUAAACGAGCUACUCCGAAGCAGCACUAUAGAGCUAACCCGUCUCUGUGGCAAAAGAGUGGGAAGACUUCCGAGUAGCGGUGAAAAGCCUACCGAGUUUAGUGAUAGCUGGUUACCCAAGAAAAGAACUUUAGUUCUGCAUUAAUUUUUCACUACCUAGACAAGACUUACUCGUCAUAGAAACCUAUAAGAAUUAAUAGUUAUUUAGAAGAGGUACAGCCCUUCUAAACAAAGAUACAACUUUUUAAGGUGGGAAAUGAUCAUAAUUAUUAAGGUUGCCAUCCCAGUGGGCCUAAAAGCAGCCACCUGUUAAGUAAGCGUCGCAGCUCUAAUCUAAUAAUUAAACCUUUAAUUCAGAUAUCCCUUCAUAACCCCCUUUAUCCUAUUGGGUUAUUUUAUAUUCCUAUAAAAGAACUUAUGCUAAAAUGAGUAAUAAAGAGAAUAAAUCUCUCCCGACACAAGUGUACGUCAGAAAGAAUUAAAUCACUGACAAUUAAACGACCCCAAACUGAGGUCAUUAUACCACUUAACCAUUUACUAGAAAAUCCUAUUCUUCUACUCGUUA
Molecule: ribosomal RNA, 825 nt
Filed under: Carcharhinus porosus (smalltail shark)
Lineage: Eukaryota; Metazoa; Chordata; Chondrichthyes; Carcharhiniformes; Carcharhinidae
Description: partial 16S ribosomal RNA
Rfam family: Bacterial large subunit ribosomal RNA (bases 182-685)
Source: RNAcentral